GGAAGAUGUGGGUACACUGAUUACCCUCAGGGCUUGGAUCCAUGGUGCAAUUUAUGCAAAUGCAAACCUGGUUUAAAAGGUUCCUGUCCUGCCUGUUAGCCCUUUCCCCACCCUCAUCGUUCCUUCCCACCCCAGUGUGCUUUAUGUAGCUCUUCCUUGGAUCACGCUCCAACUCAGAAGAGUGAUGUGGUUCAGGUUAAACCCAAACUGGGAAGUUUAAGGUGAUAUUUUAAGAUCUUUUUUUGAAAGUGUGCUUAGACCAAAGAGGCUCUGCUCUGAAUCUGUGGGCAAAGCUGGAAUGACAAGCAGGCAAUGUCCAACCUGCUCUGCACAUGUCUCCACAUACCAAGGGAAAAGAUGCUUUAACUGCAUUUUCAGUGCUGCCCUGUUUGAAUGGAAGACAAAGCAGUGUGAGAGCAGAGGGAAUGCAUUAUUUAUUGUGCUGGUACCACGAGGGGCAGGGAAGGCACAUACCCAGAGGAGAAGAGGCGAAGCUCCCAUUGCGUUUACUGUCGUAACUAAGCACGAGGGCCUGGUUCUGAUCUUACUCAUGUUGGUAUAAAUCACGACCACCACAGGCUGUGGAUGCGUGCCCUCUUCUUGAUGAAGCGAUGCCAGCACAGCAGCUGGCUCUUCUCUGCUGUUCCCUUGCUGCAGGUUCCCUCUUUGCUGGCUGCUGGCAAUAAGCUGAGCCCGCUGGGUGCUGCGGGCACACAUCCUGCAGUGCCCCGUGCCUGAGGGAGUACUGAGAAGGAAGCCAGGAACCUGUGAAAUGCACGCUGAGUUUGCCAUGCCAGGCGUGGGGCUUCACUUUAAAGGAAAUUCAGAGCUCAGGCCUCAAAAAACAGCCUUGAAAAAAUCUGUGCUUAAAAAAUAAUCCUAGGAUAGGGGUGUGCUGUUGGUGCUCCCAUUGGCUGAUGGUCCCAUCUGUGUGUGACCCCCCCAGCCCGCUCUCCCUCUGCUUCCUCCAUGUUGUCUUGCCACCUUGUCCAUGCUUGCAGUCAGUUUUUUGCCAUCAUGAAAUAAUUCAAAUCACUGGAGCAGCAGGAAAAAACAUCCCUUUCUCAGGCCCCCAGCCUCCUGACAUCCACCGCAGGCCCCGUUUCAGUGACUGCGAGCACCUCCCAGCAAGACCAGUGACCUGGGGGCAGGAGAGUCCUGGAUGUCCAUGGGCAUCCAAUGCCCUGCCCAGGCCAUGGAAACCUUCAGGCUCCAUCUGA
RNAcentral lists this long non-coding RNA (1220 nucleotides) under Anser brachyrhynchus (Pink-footed goose). RNAcentral's name for it is "lncRNA (ENSABRG00000019038.1)". The record is from RNAcentral. Lineage: Eukaryota; Metazoa; Chordata; Aves; Anseriformes; Anatidae.